RNAcentral lists this long non-coding RNA (4601 nucleotides) under Homo sapiens (human). RNAcentral's name for it is "HSALNT0160949". The record is from RNAcentral. Lineage: Eukaryota; Metazoa; Chordata; Mammalia; Primates; Hominidae.
GCGAUUGGUAGUUGGUCUGUAUGAUGACAGCUAAAGGAAAAAAUGCAAUUAUUCAAAAUUAUGAGGAAAUCCAGGCACUGUGGCUCAUGCCCGUAAUCCCAGCUACUCUGGUGGCUGAGGCAGGAGAAUUGCUUGAGGCCAGAAGUUCAAGACUAGCCUGGCCAACAUAGGAGACCCUGUCUCUAAAUAAAAAUAAAUUUAAAAAUAAAAAAUAAAAUAAUGAAGGAAAAAAUGGUUGGAAAACAAAGGAUGCAGACCAACUCACUUCAUGCCAUGUUCCUUCUUAAGGUGAGAGACAGGUCCUAGAUGAGAAGAAUUUUAUUCACAUAAGACUGACCACUACACUAUAAUAAAAGAGUUAAUUUUUAUGUUCAGUUUUUUAUUCUCUCAGUUGCCAGAGAUGGGGGGAAAUCACAUUAAGUGCUGGCAGCCAGGUUUUGUCAUGAGAACAAGGCAUCGAAGGGCGAAGUCCGUGAAUGAUCUUGGGAAAUGUGUGUCACCCUGACCUUUAGAGACGACUGCAUCCUGAUUGGCUGCCUAUGCCGCCCUCUCCCCGGGAGUCGGGAGGGUUGUAAAUACAGAAGAAAUGGAAAGGCAGAGGGAGAAAUAGCUGCCUCAUUCCCUCUUGCUGGAGAAAAAAAAAAAAAGCAAUAGGUGUUUAAUCUGCAAGGGAGAUGAAUUUCCUAUCUAACCCAAGGAGAUGUGGGACAGCUCCGGGGUAAAGAUUGAUAGAACUGUCUGAUGUCAGAGCAGCCACAGGCCAUAAAUAAUCCAGUCCAACCCCCUGGCUUUACAGAUGAAUCAGGCCCAGAGACGCCAGGCGACUUGAGCAAGGCCACUCAGCUGUCAAGAGCCCGGGUAGAAAUCAGUGCCCUUUCUGCUACACCAUUCUGAACGGCUCCAGCCACCUGCUUGCCUCAAGGAUCCCAGUUUGCUCUGUCUUCCCUUUCUCUUCUUCCUUCUCCUCUUACAAUGUUCAAUAAUAAUUGGCAAUGUACAAAUCAGACUCUCAGGACUUCAGAGGCAAGGACCAGGCUGAAUUUUUCUGAUCCUAGCAAAGGUGGAUUCCUUGAAGAAAGCUGCCUUUCAAUCUAAAGUUCUGAAGGAUUCCAGUGAUUUUGCAACCUGCAGGCUUUGGCUUGGAAGGACUUACAGCCGAUUUCACAAACUUUCAAAGCCUUAAGGAGCAGUGAUGGAGCAUUGGUCAGCAGUUUCGUGAAUGACGCUACAUUCUCUUAUUUUCCAAAUGACCUAACCCCACAGCACAGAAUCUGCUGGAUUUGGUGUCUGUAAAGACUUACCAGCCAGGCACAGUGCCUCAUUCCUGUAAUCCCAGCACUUUGGGAGGCCAAGGAGGGAGGACCACUGGAGGCCUGGAGUUCAAGAGCAGCCUGGGCAAGAUAAUGAGACCCUAUCUCUACAAAAAAAUUAAAAACUAUCCAAGUGUGGUGGUGCAUGCCUGUAGCCCCAGCUACUUCAGAGGCUGAGGCAAGAAGAUUACUUGAACCCGGGAGUUUGAGGCUGCAGUGAGCUAUAAUCACAGCACUGCACUGCAGCCUGGGCCACAGAGUUGAGACCCUAUCUAUCAGGAAGGAAGGAAGGAAGGAAGGAAAGAAGGAAGGAAGGAAGGAGGGAGGGAGGGAAGGAGGGAGGAAGAAAGGAAUGAAGGAAGAGGACUUCCAUCCAAGGAUAGAUUUCCUCAUUUUACGAAGUCCACCUCAUUCCCUUUACCUCUUUCUUGGGCAACCUCCUCUACCCUAGCAUCAAGCAUUUAUCAGAUUCCUAUAAUUUCAUCAAAUGCAGGCACUUAUCAGGUUUACAAAAAAUAGUCUAUCUUGGAGAGCUUCCAAUGUGAUGUUGAGGCAGAGCAACUGUGUUUAAGGGCAACUCAAGACUAGCCCACCUGAAAGGUUCCCACACCCAAACUAACCUGCAGGUACAAAUGAAGUCACAUCAGUUAUGAAUACCCAGGUUUUGAUGACUCACAGCCCCCACCAACAAAACUGCAGGACCUUGAGGGCCUCCCACCCUGCAGUGGGCUCAGGGGCUCACUCCCUUGUGCUAAUAGAGUCUUUCUCUGCAGCUACCUGUGGUCCAGGGCCUGAAAAACCACUUAGAGUCAUCACUUCCCCAUUGCCUGUAAUCCCAGCACCACUUUGGGAGGCCAAGGAGAGAGGAUCCUGAGCAGCUGGGGCAACAGGCAUGCACUACCACACUUGGAUAAUUUUUAAUGAUUUAGUAAAGAGGUGGUCUCGCUAUCUUGCCCAGCCUAUGAAUGCUGCCCUAUUGCUUCAUUGCACCGCUCCUUAAAGAAAGUUUGUGAAAUCAGAUCUGAGUCCUUCCGAGUCAAAGCCUGCAGGUUGCAAAAUCACUGGAAUCCUUCAGAACUUUAGAUUGUGGCCAUAUGAAAGGCAGCUUUCUUCAAGGAGAGGUGGGGUAGCGGAGUAGUCACUUAUGCCUUGGUCUGGCUGGGUGAAUCUGCAUUUUUACACAAACAAUAGGGCAGAGGAAGCAAUCAGAUGUGCAUUUGUUUCAGAUGAGCCGAGGGAUGACUUUGAGUUCUGUCCUUUGUCCUGCACCUGUGAAGAUAAGCUAUCAAUUUACAUUGCCAGAGUGAAAUUCAACAGAACUGUUUUAGUGUAAAGAUCUUGAGGCCCACAAGGAACUUCCUAGUAGGCAAAUUGUGAGGGAGAUAUGAAGAUUUUUAAAAAUCUUUGUAACUGUCUUAUUUAGGAAUAGAAUGAGAGGCAGGUGUGCCUGAUGCAGUUCCCAGCUUGAUUUUUCCCUUUGGCUUAGUGAUUUGGGGGUCCUGAGAUUUAUUUGCCUUUCACAUUGGCAUGAGGAGAAAAAAAUCUAUUGAAUUGUCUUGAGUAGGCAUCCCUCUUCUGGACUUUAAUUUGUGCAGGAGGGGACACUGGUAUUGGUUAUCCCACCCAGCCAAGCUUGGGGUAUAAUUGAUUUUUGGUCUUUGGGUUUCUAAAUCAGUCUUAUGACCUCAUUAAAAAAUGAAUGAGGGCCAGGUGCAGUGGCUCAUGCCUGUAAUCCUAGCACUUUGGGAGGCCAAGAUGGAUGGAUCGUUUGAGGUCAGGAGUUCAAGACCAGCCUGGCCAACAUGGCGAAACCCUGUCUCUACUGAAAAAAUAUAAAAAUUAGCUGGGCAUCAUGGCACAUGCCUGUAAUCCCAGCUACUCAGGAGGCUGAGGCAGGAGAAUCACUUGAACCCAAGAGGUAGAGGCUACAGUGAGCCCAGAUUACGCCGCUGUACUCCAGCCUAGGUGACAGAGCAAGACCUUGCCUCAAAAAGAAAAAACAAAAGACAAAACAAACAAACAAAGAAACAAACUGAAUGAGUCCCCCCAGAACCUCUGGGCAGGUGAAAAAAAAAAUUAGUUUUUAGACCUACAAACUUAUGAAUCAGAUUCUGACCAAAUUCCUGCCUAUGAGGUCCUACAAGCAGUAGGUCAGAGUCUUCCCAAACCCCUCUGAGCCAUAGCCAGCCAUAUGCAUCAAAUGGUUUUCAUGUUUGUUGAAUGAACACAUGGAUGAAUGAAUGAGCAAAUGAAAAAACAGAUUACUGGCUGGUUGGCUAGUUGAAUAGAUGAACAGAAGGAUGAAAAGAACCAUUUGAUAUAAUACUUGUCCCCUGAAAAUCUCAAGCUGAAAUGUGAUCCCCAGUGUUGGCAGUAGGGCCUGGUGGGUGGUGUUUGGGUCAUGGGGACAGACUCCUUAUGAAUGGCUUGGUGGCCUCCCUGUCGUAAUGAGUGAGUUCUUGCUCUAUUUGUUCACACAAGAGCUGGUUGUUUAAAAAUGCCUGGCCAAACAUUGUUGGUGGGAGUGUAAAUUAGUUCAACCAUCGUGGAAGACAGUGUGGUGAUUCCUCAAGGAUCUAGAACUAGAAAUACUAUUUGAUCCAGCAAUCCAAUUACUGGGUAUAUACCCAAAGGAUUAUAAAUCAUUCUGCUAUAAAGACACAUGCACACAUAUGUUUAUUGCAGCACUAUUUACAGUAGCAAAGACUUGGAACCAACCCAAAUGCCCAUCAAUAACAGACUGGAUAAAGAAAAUGUAGCACAUAUACACCAUGGAAUACUAUGCAGCCAUAAAAAAGAAUGAGUUCAUGUCCUUUGCAGGGACAUGGAUGAAGCUGGAAGCCAUCAUUCUCAGCAAACUAACACAGGAACAGAAAACCAAACACUGCAUGUUCUCACUCAUAAAUGGGAGUUGAACAAUGAGAACACAUGGACACAGGGAGGGGAGUUGUGGCCUGUUGUAGGGUGGGGGGCAAGGGGAGGGAGAGCAUUAGGACAAAUACCUAAUGCAUGUGGGCUUAAAACCUAGGUGAUGGGUUGAUAGGUGCAGCAAACCACCAUGGCACAUGUAUACCUAUGUAACAAACCUGCAUGUUCCGCACAUGUAUCCCAGAACUUAAAGUAAAUUAAAAAAAAAUGCCUGGCAGUGUCUCUUGCUCCCUUUCACACCAUGUGGCACACCUGCUCCCCUUCCCCUUCUGCCAUGAGUAAAAACUUCCUGAGGCCUCACUAGAGGCCAAGCAGAUGCUGGAGCCAUGCUUGUACAGUCUGCAGAACUGUGAGCCAAAUAAA